GAUAACUGGCUUGUGAUAGCCAAGUGUUUAUAGCGACGCCACUUUUUGAUCCUUCGAUGUCGGCUCUUACAAUCAUUGUGAAGCAGAAUUCACCAAGUGUUAUAUUGUUCACCCACUAACUUGGAAUGUGAGCUGAGUUUAGACCGGUU
Molecule: non-coding RNA, 149 nt
Filed under: Danio rerio (zebrafish)
Lineage: Eukaryota; Metazoa; Chordata; Actinopteri; Cypriniformes; Danionidae
Description: Eukaryotic large subunit ribosomal RNA
Rfam family: Eukaryotic large subunit ribosomal RNA
Source: Rfam by way of RNAcentral